UAACGCGUGGGCAACCUGCCUUAUACAGGGGGAUAACAGCUGGAAACAGUUGCUAAUACCGCAUAAGCGCACAGUGUCGCAUGGCACAGUGUGAAAAACUAAGGUGGUAUAAGAUGGGCCCGCGUCUGAUUAGCUAGUUGGGAGGGUAACGGCCUGCCAAGGCAACGAUCAGUAGCCGGCCUGAGAGGGCGGACGGCCACAUUGGGACUGAGACACGGCCCAGACUCCUACGGGAGGCAGCAG
Molecule: ribosomal RNA, 243 nt
Filed under: uncultured bacterium
Lineage: Bacteria
Description: partial 16S ribosomal RNA
Rfam family: Bacterial small subunit ribosomal RNA
Source: RNAcentral